UUGCACGCUGGCGGCAGGCCUAACACAUGCAAGUCGAGCGGAUGAAGGGAGCUUGCUCCUGGAUUCAGCGGCGGACGGGUGAGUAAUGCCUAGGAAUCUGCCUGGUAGUGGGGGAUAACGUCCGGAAACGGGCGCUAAUACCGCAUACGUCCUGAGGGAGAAAGUGGGGGAUCUUCGGACCUCACGCUAUCAGAUGAGCCUAGGUCGGAUUAGCUAGUUGGUGGGGUAAAGGCCUACCAAGGCGACGAUCCGUAACUGGUCUGAGAGGAUGAUCAGUCACCCUGGAACUGAGACCCGGUCCAGACUCCUACGGGAGGCAGCAGUGGGGAAUAUUGGACAAUGGGCGAAAGCCUGAUCCAGCCAUGCCGCGUGUGUGAAGAAGGUCUUCGGAUUGUAAAGCACUUUAAGUUGGGAGGAAGGGCAGUAAGUUAAUACCUUGCUGUUUUGACGUUACCAACAGAAUAAGCACCGGCUAACUUCG
Molecule: ribosomal RNA, 481 nt
Filed under: uncultured bacterium
Lineage: Bacteria
Description: partial 16S ribosomal RNA
Rfam family: Bacterial small subunit ribosomal RNA
Source: RNAcentral